GACGAACGCUGGCGGCGUGCUUAACACAUGCAAGUCGAACGGAAAGGCCCUGCUUUUGUUGGUUGCUCGAGUGGCGAACGGGUGAGUAACACGUGAGUAACCUGCCCUUGACUUUGGGAUAACUUCAGGAAACUGGGGCUAAUACCGGAUAGGAGCUCCUGCUGCAUGUUGGGGGUUGGAAAGUUUCGGCGGUUGGGGAUGGACUCGCGGCUUAUCAGCUUGUUUGUGGGGUAGUGGCUUACCAAGGCUUUGACGGGUAGCCUGCCUGAGAGGGUGACCGGCCACAUUGGGACUGAGAUACGGCCCAGACUCCUACGGGAGGCAGCAGUGGGGAAUAUUGCACAAUGGGCGGAAGCCUGAUGCAGCAACGCCGCGUGCGGGAUGACGGCCUUCGGGUUGUAAACCGCUGUCGCCUGUGACGAAGCGUGAGUGACGGUAAUGGGUAAAGAAGCACCGGCUAACUACGUG
Molecule: ribosomal RNA, 468 nt
Filed under: uncultured bacterium
Lineage: Bacteria
Description: partial 16S ribosomal RNA
Rfam family: Bacterial small subunit ribosomal RNA
Source: RNAcentral